Chinchilla lanigera (long-tailed chinchilla) is the source of this 83-nucleotide small nucleolar RNA. The record is from Ensembl. Lineage: Eukaryota; Metazoa; Chordata; Mammalia; Rodentia; Chinchillidae.
AGCCUGUGAUGAACUACUCUAAAUUCUGACACCUCGUAUGAGAACUGCAUAUGCAGUCUGAUUAUAUUUCGAGACUGAGGCUU